AUGUGUAAGGUGUCUUCAGAAACUAUUGCUGGGUACAGUGAAAUCUUGGUGUGCAAGCUCAUACCCGCCCUUUAUGUUUCUGUCGCGUUUUUGCUGCUGAUGGCGAUGAUAUCCACUCACUCGAAUAUUCGGUUGUCACUUUGCAGUCUUAUUUUUGUGGACUGGACCAUCCAUGCUGCUAUAGUACGAUCUAACCUAAAGUCGAUCAGAAUAGAAGGCAUAAUGUCCUCCACAAUUUUUUUUGCGGGAUCCACAAAAAUAAAAUUAAAAAUAAUAGAAGGGGUAAUUGCAGAAAACCAUCACAUUUAUAUGGUUUCAGAUUACCACUGUAACAUUUUUUUUAGAAUUUUCUCAGUUGUGAUAGUAAACUGA
Molecule: ribosomal RNA, 372 nt
Filed under: Triticum aestivum (bread wheat)
Lineage: Eukaryota; Viridiplantae; Streptophyta; Magnoliopsida; Poales; Poaceae
Description: partial small subunit ribosomal RNA
Source: RNAcentral